This 893-nucleotide ribosomal RNA is filed under the name Sarcophaga furcata. RNAcentral's name for it is "eukaryotic LSU rRNA". It matches the Rfam family "Eukaryotic large subunit ribosomal RNA", at positions 158 to 878 of the family's 3401-position model. The record is from RNAcentral. Lineage: Eukaryota; Metazoa; Arthropoda; Insecta; Diptera; Sarcophagidae.
AUGUCAAAUUUCUAGUAUGAGAAAUUAACGAUUUAAGUCCUUCUUAAAUGAGGCCAUUUACCCACAGAGGGUGCCAGGCCCGUAUAACGUUAAUGAUUACUAGAUGGCAUUUCCAAAGAGUCGUGUUGCUUGAUAGUGCAGCACUAAGUGGGUGGUAAACUCCAUCUAAAACUAAAUAUAACCAUGAGACCGAUAGUAAACAAGUACCGUGAGGGAAAGUUGAAAAGAACUCUGAAUAGAGAGUUAAAUAGUACGUGAAACUGCUUAGAGGUUAAGCCCGAUGAACCUGAAUAUCCAUUAUAGAAAAUUCAUCAUUAUGAUUUUAAUAUUAAUAAUAUUAUAAUAAUGGUGUGCAUUUUUUCUAUAACGGACAUUGUAAUCUAUUAACAUAAAUAUAUUUAUCAUAAGAUCAAUGAUGCGUAAGUUUAUUCAAAUUAUUUUGCUUGCAAUUUAACAUAGAAUAAAUGCUCUUGAUUUGAUAAAGUGUUGAUAGAUUUAUUGUAUAUAGUGCUUAAAUAUUUAUAUUUUAUAAUAGCAUAUUAAUCAUUGAUUUUUAUGUUUAUUAUAUGCACUUAUAUGAUUAACAAUGCGAAAGAUUCAGGAUACCUUCGGGACCCGUCUUGAAACACGGACCAAGGAGUCUAACAUAUUUGCAAGUUAUUGGGUAUUAAAACCUAAUAGCGAAAUUAACAUAACUUUAAUGGGAUUAGUUUUUAGAUUAUUUAUAGUCUAUUAAUUCAAUCCCGGGGCGUUCUAUACAGUUAUGUAUAAUAAUAUUUAUAUUAUUUAUACCUCUAACUAGAGCGUACCUUGAGCAUAUAUGCUGUGACCCGAAAGAUGGUGAACUAUACUUGAUCAGGUUGAAGUCAGGGGAAACCCUGAUGGAAGACCGA